Molecule: ribosomal RNA, 1395 nt
Filed under: metagenome
Description: bacterial LSU rRNA
Rfam family: Bacterial large subunit ribosomal RNA
Source: RNAcentral
AAAUAGAUCGUUAAAGGGUGUAGUUAUAGGUUGAGUAGGCAAAUCCGCUCGACUUGACGAACCUGAUAGUACUAAAAGGCUUCGGCCGGAUAGAUAGUGCCCCUAAUCAUGCUCACGAGAAAAACUUCUAAGGUUAGGCUAUUACAACCCGUACCGUAAACCGACACAGGUAGUCGAGAUGAGUAUUCUAAGGCGCUCGGGUGAGCCGCGGAGAAGGAACUAGGCAAAUUAACGCUGUAACUUCGGGAUAAAGCGUACCACAGCGAUGUGGUCACAGUAAAAUGGUGCAACCAACUGUUUAGCAAAAACACAGGGCCCUGCAAAAUCGAAAGAUGACGUAUAGAGCCUGAUACCUGCCCGGUGCUGGAAGGUUAAGGAAGCUUGUUCGCAGCAAUGCAAAGCUUGUGACCGAAGCCCCAGUAAACGGCGGCCGUAACAAUAACGGUCCUAAGGUAGCGAAAUUCCUUGUCGGGUAAGUUCCGACCUGCACGAAUGGUCUAAUGAGUUGCACACUGUCUCCUCCGCGAGCCCGGUGAAAUUGUAGUAUCGGUGAAGAUGCCGGUUACCCGCCACGGGACGAAAAGACCCCGUGAACCUUCACUACAACUUUACAUUGAUUUUGAGUAACAGAUGUGUAGCAUAGUUGGGAGACUGCGAAGCGGGUGCGCCAGCACUUGUGGAGUCACCGUUGAAAUACCAACCUUCUGUUGCUUAGAGUCUAAUCCCUAACGGGAGACAUUGUAUGGUGGGUAGUUUGACUGGGGUGGUCGCCUCCUAAAAAGUAACGGAGGCUCGCAAAGGUGCCCUCAGUACGGUUGGUAAUCGUACGUAGAGCGUAUUAGUAUAAGGGCGCUUGACUGUGAGGCUGACCAGCCGAGCAGGUGCGAAAGCAGGCUAAAGUGAUCCGGUGGUUCUGUAUGGAAGGGCCAUCGCUCAAAGGAUAAAAGGUACUCCGGGAUAACAGGCUGAUCUCCCCCAAGAGCUCAUAUCGACGGGGAGGUUUGGCACCUCGAUGUCGGUUCGUCACAUCCUGGGGCUGGAGAAGGUCCCAAGGGUUGGGCUGUUCGCCCAUUAAAGCGGCACGUGAACUGGGUUCAGAACGUCGCAAGACAGUUCGGUCUCUAUCUGUGGUGGGCGUUAGUAAAUUGCGAGGACAUGCUCUUAGUACGAGAGGACCGGAGUGUAUGUACCGCUGGUGUAUCUGUUGUGCCGCCAGGCGCAGUGCAGAGUAGCUAUGUACAGUCAAGAUAAGCGCUGAAAGCAUCUAAGCGCGAAACUUUCCUCAAGAUGAGUUUACUUUUAAGGGCCGUCAAAGACUAUGACGUUGAUAGGCUACAGGUGUAAAGGUGGUAACAUCAAAGCCGAGUAGUACUAAUUGCCCGUAAGCUUUAAAAA